RNAcentral lists this ribosomal RNA (1004 nucleotides) under Leifsonia sp. Its description in RNAcentral is "bacterial SSU rRNA". The record is from RNAcentral. Lineage: Bacteria; Bacillati; Actinomycetota; Actinomycetes; Micrococcales; Microbacteriaceae.
GGGAUUAGUGGCGACGGGUGAGUAACACGUGAGUAACCUGCCCUUGACUCUGGGAUAACCUCCGGAAACGGAAGCUAAUACCGGAUAUGACGCMCGGAGGCAUCUCCUGUGCGUGGAAAGAACUUCGGUCAAGGAUGGACUCGCGGCCUAUCAGGUAGUUGGUGAGGUAACGGCCCACCAAGCCUACGACGGGUAGCCGGCCUGAGAGGGUGACCGGCCACACUGGGACUGAGACACGGCCCAGACUCCUACGGGAGGCAGCAGUGGGGAAUAUUGCACAAUGGGCGCAAGCCUGAUGCAGCAACGCCGCGUGAGGGACGACGGCCUUCGGGUUGUAAACCUCUUUUAGUAGGGAAGAAGCGAAAGUGACGGUACCUGCAGAAAAAGCACCGGCUAACUACGUGCCAGCAGCCGCGGUAAUACGUAGGGUGCGAGCGUUGUCCGGAAUUAUUGGGCGUAAAGAGCUCGUAGGCGGUCUGUCGCGUCUGCUGUGAAAACCCGAGGCUCAACCUCGGGCCUGCAGUGGGUACGGGCAGACUAGAGUGCGGUAGGGGAGAAUGGAAUUCCUGGUGUAGCGGUGGAAUGCGCAGAUAUCAGGAGGAACACCGAUGGCGAAGGCAGUUCUCUGGGCCGUAACUGACGCUGAGGAGCGAAAGCGUGGGGAGCGAACAGGAUUAGAUACCCUGGUAGUCCACGCCGUAAACGUUGGGCGCUAGAUGUGGGGACCAUUCCACGGUUUCCGUGUCGCAGCUAACGCAUUAAGCGCCCCGCCUGGGGGAGUACGGCCGCAAGGCUAAAACUCAAAGGAAUUGACGGGGGGCCCGCACAAGCGGCGGAGCAUGCGGAUUAAUUCGAUGCAACGCGAAGAACCUUACCAAAGGCUUGACAUAUACGAGAAACGGCCAGAAAUGGGUCAACUUCUUUUGGACACUCGUAAAACAGGGUGGGUGCAUGGUGGUCGUCAGCUCGUGGUCGUGAGAUGAUGGAUUAGUCCCCGCAACCGA